UCCGGCUUAACGCCGGCAGUCUCCUUAGAGUGCCCAACUGAAUGGUGGCAACUAAGGACGAGGGUUGCGCUCGUUGCGGGACUUAACCCAACACCCCACGGCACGAGCUGACGACAGCCAUGCAGCACCUGUGCUAGCUCCCCGAAGGGUCCCUCCCCUUUCGGUUCGGUACUACUAGCAUGUCAAGCCCUGGUAAGGUUCUUCGCGUUGCAUCGAAUUAAACCACACGCUCCGCCGCUUGUGCGGGCCCCCGUCAAUUCCUUUGAGUUUUAGCCUUGCGGCCGUACUCCCCAGGCGGGACACUUAAUGCGUUAGCUACGGCACGGAGGGAGUCGACACCCCCCACACCUAGUGCCCAUCGUUUACGGCGUGGACUAC
This 378-nucleotide unclassified non-coding RNA is filed under the name uncultured bacterium. RNAcentral describes it as "contains 16S-23S intergenic spacer region". The record is from RNAcentral.